GACGAACGCUGGCGGCGUGCUUAACACAUGCAAGUCGAACGGAAAGGCCCCCAUCUUGGUGGGGGUGCUCGAGUGGCGAACGGGUGAGUAACACGUGGGUGAUCUGCCCUGUACUUCGGGAUAAGCUUGGGAAACUGGGUCUAAUACCGGAUAGGACCAUGGUUUAGUGUCUCAUGGUGGAAAGAUUAUUGUUUUGGUGCAGGAUGAGCUCGCGGCCUAUCAGCUUGUUGGUGGGGUAAUGGCCUACCAAGGCGUCGACGGGUAGCCGGCCUGAGAGGGUGGACGGCCACAUUGGGACUGAGAUACGGCCCAGACUCCUACGGGAGGCAGCGGUGGGGAAUAUUGCACAAUGGGCGCAAGCCUGAUGCAGCGACGCCGCGUGGGGGAUGACGGCCUUCGGGUUGUAAACUCCUUUCGUUAGGAACGGAGCCGCACUUUUUUUGGGUGUGGUGACGGUACCUUUGUUAAGAAGCACCGGCUAACUACGUG
This 489-nucleotide ribosomal RNA is filed under the name uncultured bacterium. Its description in RNAcentral is "partial 16S ribosomal RNA". It matches the Rfam family "Bacterial small subunit ribosomal RNA", at positions 28 to 507 of the family's 1533-position model. The record is from RNAcentral.